This 373-nucleotide ribosomal RNA is filed under the name uncultured organism. RNAcentral's name for it is "bacterial SSU rRNA". It matches the Rfam family "Bacterial small subunit ribosomal RNA", at positions 526 to 896 of the family's 1533-position model. The record is from RNAcentral.
CAGAGGGUGCAAGCGUUGUUCGGAAUUACUGGGCGUAAAGCGCGCGCAGGCGGAUCCUGUAAGUCGGAAGUGAAAUUUCGGGGCUCAACUCCGAAGCUGCUUCUGAUACUGCGGAUCUGGAGAUCGGUAGAGGUCGGUGGAAUUACAGGUGUAGCGGUGGAAUGCGUAGAUAUCUGUAAGAACACCCGUGGCGAAGGCGGCCGACUGGGCCGAAUCUGACGCUGAGGCGCGAAAGCGUGGGGAGCAAACAGGAUUAGAUACCCUGGUAGUCCACGCCGUAAACGAUGGGCACUAGGUGCCGGGGGGAGCGACCCCUUCGGUGCCGCAGCCAACGCGAUAAGUGCCCCGCCUGGGGAGUACGGCCGCAAGGCUG